This is an RNA transcript of Dama dama (fallow deer), 11258 nucleotides long. It is a transcript of the gene named XK related 6, with no coding region annotated. Lineage: Eukaryota; Metazoa; Chordata; Mammalia; Artiodactyla; Cervidae. The transcript has 3 exons. The record is from RefSeq and is a predicted model, not a curated record.
UAUCUACAGCUUAUGUUAGAUGAAUAUAUUAUUUUCUAAAAUAACUCUUAAAUAUCUUUCUAGAUUUGUUCUAAUAGUUCUAAUGGAAUGUAGUCAGAACCCUUAAAUGUUUAACUUAAAUUUGAUAUCUUGCUCCACCUACCAAAAUAAGGUGAAAAUACUCGAUGCUUAUUUUCACUUACUAGAACAUAAAUAUGUUAAUUUGCUGCUAAAAUCAAUAAAUAUGGUGGACACUGAUGUUUAGCAUUUGCUAAAGCUAUGAAGAAUGGAGAGAAUAGCAGUAUUCUGCAAAGUUUCAAAGUGAACAGCCCCAUACACACAUACAUGUAAAAGGAAGCAUACAUCCAGUAACUUGCAGGAUAUAAUGGCUAGUUAGUAUGGGGUAGUUAGUGUGGUCGUUGGCUUGCAUUAUUUGUAACAAAGUAAUCAUUUUUUUCAAUGUAGGGUUUACCUGGAUGUCUGUUAUCUAAUUUUAGUAAUUUCAACAUGGGAGAACUAGACCACUGCCACCCACAGCUACUGUGCUAAGCACAAAUGAAUUGCAGUGUAAUCUGAACAUUGUGUUCACAUAGUGAUCAGAUUGUAUCAGGGCAUUUGUUUAAAGACAUUUCUUGUUUGAGUUCAUAUAUAUCUCAUCAUUAUGGGAGAAAGUAGGGCAAAUCCAUAAGGCAAUUUGAAAUAUACCUACUAAUAGGGAAUAUUAUUAAAUAUGCUUGCUUUCUUGUACUGUUGUAAUUAGCUUUGUUAUCAGUCUGUUUUCUUCCAUUCUGAUUUGUCCACUGUGCACAUUUUGAAUACCUACUAUAUAGAAAACAUUAUAUAUAGAAAACAACAUUAAGCUAAAUACUGAGAAGUGGAAGAUACAAAAAUCAGUAACAGUUUGUGCUUUUAAGCUCAGAAUAGAAGUCAUUUCAGAAACUGAAUUAUCAGUUGAAGAGAGAAGAUGCUGUUUGUUAGAAGUAUGCAGGGAGCCUGUAAGAGAGUGCCUUAGGAGUACUUAGGAGUAAACUGUAUUUGCUUAUCUGUGUAAUGGAAUCAUAAGCUCCCCAAGGGAGGGGCCUUGCUGAUUUGUGUCCCCACGCUCUGGUACGUAGUCACUUUUCAGAAAAUACUUUUGAGUGAAUGAACAAAUGUAGAACUCUCUACAAACUUGGCAGUAAACACAAAGAGGAAGAAGGACAUUAGCUAAACUCAGUGAUGUGUUCAAGGAAAUGGAUUGUGGAUUAGCCUCUGGAUCAGGAAAUCUGAAAGUGUCCGUAGACAAAAGGAAAGGAACCAUUGGAGAGAAAACGGAAGAUGUAAAUGAAGGAGGGACUCAUUCAUGGAAUAAAAUUCCACAGGGACUGUGUGAUAGGGGAAAAGUUAGCCUUAGGAAGGAGAUCCCUGUGUACCCUUACAUAGGAGAGAGAGAAGGGUUUGGAAUUUAUUACAAUAUGUUAGUAAGGGCUCAGGUAAAAUUAAUUAGCAUUAAUUAAUAUGCUGAUAAGUCCCACAGCACUUUCAAUUAUAGUGGCCUAAUAACUGAAGAAAAAUGCAGGUUGAAAAUGUUCAAAAUUGUGUACAUGCCAGUGGUUACGCACCGUGGCUCCCAGUGAGAAAUGGUGCAUUGUAAUUAUCAGGUCCAUUUGUCAUAAACUUUUGAGGGUGAAGGGCUCCUGCAAGUGCCAACAUCUCAUAGUGCCAGGGGAGGAGAUAUACCUCCUUGUCCUGCUGAAUAAUUGAAAAGUUCUGUCUCUGCUUAGUGCUGAUUUGGGAUAAACAUGAUGGACAGAUUUUUUUUUUUUUGGAGCCUGUUUUCUUCAUUUUUUCCUCCUUCCUAGGAGACUGAUUUUCUUCAGCAGUGUUUUACUGGGAAGCCUGGCCAGUUUCAUGUAUUGUUUAUCAUAGUGGGUAUCACAUUGAAUGGCAAGAUUGUCAUUUGAAGGAGUUGGGUUUGGUGACUAAGAUCACUGGAGACAUCUCUAGCAACAGCACACUCAUUGGACUGGCCCUGUCUCUAGGACAGAGGGUAUGGUAAACAAGCGAUGACUGACUUCAAGGCACAUGCUGAGCUAUUAUUGGGUAGCCCGUGAGGCACUUAAACGUAAACUCAAAACCUUGCAACCUGCCCCUGGUUUAUAAGAGUGAGAGUGUACUUUGCCUGCAGGUGCAGAUUUAAGAACAUGAAGGAGCUAGUGGUGGCCAGCUUCAGGAAGCACAGUGCCCAGGGCCAUGACAACAGUUUAUAUCAGGGUGACCACUGAGUGCCCCUGUGGUCCUCAAACAAUUCUCACGUUCAGAGGAUGGCUCGUGAGAUGUGACUCAAGGCUGUAAAUUCUCUUCCAUUUUGAGAAAUCAGUCCAUAGUCUUGAAAUGCUGAAAUAGCAAAGCGUCCUUGAAAAACAUUUUAGUUAUAGAACAAUAAUUACAUAUAUAACAAAAAUUAUAUAUAGUAGUUAUAAAGUAAUAAGUAGAAAGCCCUUCCCCCAAUUCUUAUAUGUUUUGACAGUUUCUUGGAUAGCUUUUCAUAAUUUUCAUGUUUUUUCCUUUUUUUACACUCUUGCAUGCUUUUUAAAAAUUAUUUUUUAAAUGAAUGAUAUUGUAUAUCUAUCUGUUUAGUGGUGUCAUUUAUGCACUUACUGAUACUGGUGUCCCCUACUUUUCGAAAGUUCUCUUUAUUCUACUUCAUUUUAAAGAAAGUCCUACUUUAGUGCCUAUUUUCUCUAACCAGAAGAAUUCCAAGGAGGAUUUUUGCUUUUAUGAAAAAAAGCCAAAAUAGCCUUCAGUGUCUGUUUUCCAGCUGGCUAUUACAGAGGCGAUGUACAUCCCAGUCAGUGAAAGUGGCCCCACUAACGUCUUUCCCCAGGAACCACACUCAGCAUCUCGGUGUCCAGCUUCCAUAGCUUUGAACUCUGUGAGCAUCUGUGCUUAUCUCGGUUUAUUUUGUGCACCCAUUAGCAGGAUGUGUCCUAAGGUAAUUGCUUCUUUGCUUUAUUCCGUUUUGGCGUAUGAAAGGUUUUAUAGGACUGCUGUUCUUUCAGAUAGUUGGUGAAACGUGUUUAUCUAGGACACCUUUCCUCAGCUAGAUGAAAUGAAACAUGACUUUUUUAAACGAGCUUCCUUUUGACAGACAUUAGGAUGAUUUUCCAGAUUUUUCUUUCAUUAUUGUACAUUAAUGUUAGAGCUGUAAUAUUGUCAUUAUAGUCUCCUUGUACAAAUAUUUUUGCGUACAUGAAAGAAGAAAUAUAAAGAAUCCUGGUCCUAAAAGUCAAAUUUGUGGGUCAAAAGCAUGUAGGUUUCUACAUUUUUGUAGAUAUUACCAUUGUUCCACAAACAUUUAGUAUCAGUUUAUACCUCUCCUAGUGGUAUAGUUGAGCACCCCAUCCCCCAGAUUCUUGAUCGUCAUUGCUCAUGUGUUAGUAUGCUGUUUUAAUUUGCAUUUCUUAAGUUAUGAGUGUUUGAAGAUGUUUUCAUGUUUAUAGAUCAUUUUUAUUUUUCAGUGAAUUGUCUGUAGUCAUUGCCCAUUUCCCAGAGAAUUGUCUUUUUCUUAGCAAUUUGUCAAGACUGUGCAUAUUAAUAUUUGGUGCAAAUAUUUUCGUUGGUGUAUUGUUUGUUUUUGUUUAUAAUUGAUUUUUUGUUUGAUUUAUCUUUUAUAAAAUCAAUUGUGACCUGUUUUUGACUUCUACAAUUAAAAAAAUCAUGAAGUCCUUCCUGUGUUUUUUCUUCAAGUAUUUCUGUAGUCUCAUGUUGUAACUUUAGCCUUGUGGUGUACCUGGGAUUUGUCCUGUAAAGGAAUGAAGGUAAGGAUUUAGUGAAAGUUUUCCAAAUGGCUAGCAGUUGUCUCAACAUCAUUUUUUGGAGCAUUUUCCCAUCUUCCCAUUGAAUCCUUGAAUUUGGGAUUUUCUGACUGAUAAAUGUAUGGCACUUAUAGUAACAUCUAAACUAAGGGACUGAUUUUCAUGAGAAUGUAUAUUUCAUUGGGUGCACUUAAACAGAUAGGCAUUGUUUUUAUAGAAAUUUGAUUCUAUGAUUUGUUGAAAUUUAUGAUUAACUUAAUGCAACUCUGAUUUUAUUAAACAGGAGACCUCAAUAUAGGAGUCUUGAAGUGGAGUUUUAUGAUUAGUAUAACUUAAAACUGAGUAUAAAAUUACUUGCCUUAAUUAGCUGUAAAACAUGUUCUCCUGAGUAUUAAAAUCUCAUUAGUUUAUCAUUAAAGGCCUUGACCAAAGUGGGAGCAGUGAAAAUUGUAGAAUUUGAAGAAUUGUAUCAGAUAUUUGUUGUUGCAUUUUCUGGGUUGGAUGGAUUGGUUCAGGGAAUAUGAUAGAGCUGUAAUUUGUAUGACAAAACAUACUAUGACUGAAGCAAAAGGGGGAAAUGAAGCUGUGAACAUAGUAUGCAUGAGGCUAAAAGUUACUCAAGGGAAAGAUUUGAGUUUUGAAAGAGGCAGCUACUUUUUUAUUUUUGCCAAAGAAUGCUAGCAAAUAUGAGUUGAGAAGAGCUGUGAGUUCUCUUUGUUGAUGUAAGAUACAAAUUUGAGAUUUUUAGGUAAAUGCUUAAGGCUUAUAGAAAAAGUGUAUCUAUUGAUUAUUUAUGUUUUCUUUGAAAUUUAUUGCAAUGGAAAACGAGAAUCUAUGACAUACGUGAUAAAGGAGGCAGCACUGACUGCUUACAAAUAAGACCAGCAUGCAGUUUUCCUUGAUGAAAAUUUGAAUGCAUCAAAAUAAAAAGCUUACAGAAUCAUCUUAUGAACAUCCAUGGGAAAAUGAUCUUCAAAGCUUACUGAAUUUGUUUUUAAUAUUUUCACUUGAGGCAAAUCAUACCCUAAAUCUAGAUAUGACUCAAAACAGUUCUUUACUUGUUUAUUCUAAAUAUUUAAGUAUAAAUUACAGUUUAUUACUUUAAAGGAUGGUUCAGAGACCUAGAAACUUGAGAGUCAAACCAUUUAGCUUUGUAACAGUUGUCUAGAUACUAAAUUUAGUUGGACUUCACAUGAAAAAAAUCAAAGAAGAUAAACUAAUUCAGAUGUGUUUAUGACCCCUGAUUUAAGACAAACAUAGAGCUUAAAUUGAAUCAUGUGUAUAUAUUUUGAUAUUUUUUGGUAAGGUGCCAUAUUCAUAUACAGUUAAAGAAUUUCAUUGGUAUAGAUCAAGCAGAAAAAUGCAAAACAUUAAACAAUGUGUAGACUUGAGUGGUAAUUCAUGUAUUUUAUUUAGUGGAUAUUUAUGAAUAGCAUAAAAAUUUAUAAGAUAUUCAUUUUCAUUACACUAAAGUUAAGGCCAUCUCUUUUAGUGGAACUUUGGCUGCAGAGUUUCUGAGUUUUAAAUUGUGGCUUCAGGUGACUGAAAUACUGUUACAGUAAGUAAUUUGGAAAGCUUCUUGGCUCAUUUAGCCUUACAAAAUAGUCUGAGAUGUUUACACUUGUUGUUGAAACCACUGAGGCUGUACAAAUGAAAGAGAACUAAUUUUCAGGAUUAAUGUGGGGUUUUGAAAACAUAGGCUUCACACUAAAAUAGAGACCAGGGCUUCCCUGGUGGUGCAGUGGUUAAGAAUCUGCCUUGCAAUGUAAGGGACACUGGUUUGAUCCCCAGUCUGGGAAGAUCCCACAUGCUGUGAAGCGCCGCAGCUCCUGAGCCUGUGAGCCACAAGUACGGCAGCCCACGAGCUUGAGCCCAUGCUCAAGCCACUGCAGUGAGACGCUCUCACACCACAGUGAGAGAGUAGCCCCCACUCGCCACAGCCAGAGAAAGCAAAGACCAGCACAGCCAAAAAAGUUAAAAUUUUUUUUUAAAAAUUAAGAAGAGACCAAUUGGUGGCUGACAUUCACUUGCAUCAUAAGAACUUGCUUCUGAGUGGGUUUUGUUUCCAGCCCUACAGUCUCAUUCUGUUGUCGCUGAUACAUACUGCCUUCCUUAGCAUUAUAACCCAGACCUAAGAAAAAAAGUUAGGAAAUAAAAGGCUAGGAUCCCACUCACUGAGGUUUGGAGCCAUCUUUCAAUUUAGCAUUUGGCUUCCAGCGCUUACAACGUUCAGUGUUUGUUGAAUGAGUGAGCACUUACUUUGAUUGUAGAAACAGGUUAAUUUUCGUCUACGUUACUGUUGGAAUGAGGAGUUCUUAGAAUACACAAAAAUGUGUUUCUUAGGGCCAGACCAUUCUUCUGGUUCAUUAUUACACUUUUCUUUCUUGCCUUGGUUUAUGUGCAUAACGAAGAGCUUAGUUGCUGUCUAACACCAUUAACUUCAUUAAUGAUAUUGUUAUAUUUAACUCUGUAAGAAAUAAACAUUUCAUAAUCUCAGGAGAUGAAUGAAUAAACUACUCUGACUUUGUUGAACCACCUUGGAAUUAAAUUGUCGUUAUUGUCAUACCUAGCAGCUGACAGGGUAAGAAGAGUACCCUCUCAUUCUAAGUAAGGUUACGAUACACUGGAUGGGAAUGUGUACCUUUUCAUUUUUCUGAGAUUAAUAGUGGCUUCUGAUAUUUUACAUUUCAGUGUCAUGUUAGAGAUUUCAUUUCAUGACCUUUUGUUCAUUCACAUGUAUUUUUGUUUUUAGCUCUAAAGGAAAGACAUGAGGCCUAAGACUGAAAUGAGGUUGUUUUGAGGUCAUCUGAUUUCUGACUAGAAGGUGUGCGAUCGCCUCGUCCUGAAACCACUGCAGACAGAAUGGUUUGCAAUUUUUUUUGGUGAUGGCAUGUUCAGAAUCUUGGAUCCUUAAGUUGACUAUGUUGGAAAUAUUUAGGAACUCUGGAAAUUGUUGUUUUUGUAUAUAUAAUGACUUACUAGGUGAAUCAAUAAUUUAUUAAAACAUAUAGAAGAACAGGCAUUAUAAUUUUGUAUUUCUAAGUUAGCAUGCAUGUCUCAAAUUCUCAGCCGUUAGUAUCAAUGUCAUACUCUGGAGACAGUUAUCUUUUGAAGAUCUGGCAGUUUAUAUAAUCUUCCCAUGCCAAUUUGAUCAACUUUUUUGCCUUUCUCUCUACCACAUGUAGUGUCGCUUCCUCAGAGGCGAUUCUUGAUCAGGAGGAGAAACAUGAAAUAAUUGUCAGGUGAUAGUCCUAAAGGUAGUAAUUACAAAACUUCAAUCUGGAAAUGGCCUCAGCAUGGUCAUAGCAGGAUAUGCAAAUUCUACCCAAUAGAUCCAGAUACACCAGUGGCAAAAUGCUGCCAGUUUUCAAAUGAGAUAUUAUCAUGUGGGACGGAAAUGCCAAUAAAGAGGGAAAGGAGCCGCUCGGUUCGCCUGCUUCUCUCUCCCUGUUGUUGAAUGAAUGAAUUAGGAAAGGAAAAUGGCCAUGAAACAGACUGUGUGAAUGAAAAGGAGAAGGAACAAAACUUGACUUUCCAAGAAGGACUAUUUCCCUUAAAAAUGGAAAGUUGCCUGUAUUCCACGUGCACUGUUUUAAAACUGGGGGUUACUCUGAAGGAGACCCAGAACGUGAACUAGGGGAUUCUCUACCUAGGGGAUGGAUGGAGAACUGGCGUUUGACGGGAGAAUUGGGCAUUCUUUGGGUGACUGGAGUGCCGUGAUUGGUAGGUGUCCUCUCUGGCUUGUUCAUGCUGGGAUUAAGAGAUGUAAGCAUUCUGGGAUGGGUAGUUACGUUGAUGGUCAAAUAUGAUUGCCUCCCUUUUCUUUUGACCAAAACUGGGGAAAGGUUGAUUUUUUUAAGACCAUAUUCAGAGCAAUUGAAAGAAGAUUAAAGGGAAAGGAUGAGGAGAAUUCAAGGAACUUUAGAGACUGAGUGCUAGCUCAGUAGGGUGUUAAUUAUUUAUUCCAAGUUUUAUUAUUAGUAGAUAAUCCAGUAAUACAGAAAUUGGUAGAACAGAACUUUUGAUAACGUUUCUAUUAGAAGGCAUGUAGAACCUAAUAAACUAUAUAGAAUAUACUGUAACUGCAUCCUCCGUCCCCUUGCUUUGCUUGGUUUAAUAGUAAUUGACUGAUAUAUAUUUAAUAAAUGGCACAAUGAAAAAAAUCAGAAUUUUUUAAAAAUCAAGUUACAUUUUACCCUAAGUAUGUAUUGCCUAUUUAGCUGCUUUCCCAUUACAACUGACUUUUUAAAAAACCUGUCCUUCUUGAUACUUUUGUUAAUGGAGGUGUUUCCUCUUAGCCAAUUCUAGCCACAGUAUUGACUGGGCCUAGGCAUUUGAUAUACCCCAAAGGAAUCAGCCAGGAAAAGACUUGGUCCCUACUGGAAUGAAUAUUUUAAAGACCUUAGAUUCUGAACACUGUGAGUACAAAUGAAAGAGACCCAAGAGAGGGAAAAACUUAAGAGCCCAAGAAUAAAGAUGAUGGUGGGGAUGAGGGGAGGGGUAAGCUCUUAUAUAACUAAGCUAAGGUGCUUGAAGGCAGGGAAUUGGUUUCCUGGAGAUUAUGAGAUAGUAUGGGAAAUCCCUUGAGCAGUAGGCAUUCUGAUGUUAAUUUGGGUAGUUCACACUGGCAUACUGUUAUUUUAAAGACAGUGGCAGGUGAUAUUGGGAAACACAAGUGUGUUUCCUAGUAAUGAGUUUGAUUUCAUUCUGGUAUGUUAUGAAUGGGCAUGUGGCUCAAAGAUUAGCUUAAUUCAAAAUAUCUUAAAUAUUAGAGAAAAUACCAUAAAAAUGGGUCCUUUGUCCCUGUUGUAUAACUUCAGGAAAUAGUGUAGAAUCCUGAACAUAGUGGAGAGUUGAUGGCAUGAAUAUAGUCAGUAUUUGAUGGUUGCCUUCUAGAAACUUCUAAAUGAAACCUAAAGUUGUUUUACGUUGGCCUCAAUUGUACAACAGUAGCAUUUCUAGUGUGUGUCCCACGGGAAGUCUGUACCCUCUUGGCUCACUGCAUGUCACAGCCUUACACAUCACUGUGAGGAUUCAGAGACUGACUCAGUUACCUAAGGUUGGUUGGAUAUUUGGGGAGAGUCAGUACACAGCAGCACACACAAGAAAGUGAGCCUCAGACGACGGCUGUUUGUAUUUUGGAAGUUUUAGACCCUGUUUGGAAGAUCAGAAGAAAGCUUUGGAUCAUUUCCACAACAAAAGUAGUUUCUGAGUGUACAGGCUGGUUGUCAUUCAGGAAGCCCUGAUCUUAAAGACCGUCUUCAUUUCACACCUGACCUUGUUCCGGCUUUGUUGUCACUCCCCAUCAGUAGUUGUCUGUCACCUUUGAAUGGAGCACCCGAUCUUGAGGGGUACUUACCGCCUUACACACUGAACUGUUAAAGCCACAAGUCCAGACCUCUGUGACGUCACGGUGAAAAAGCUUUCUGCAAGGGGCUGCCGCAAAGGUGCAGAUGGAUAUCACAUUCAUAGUACGAAUGAAAUGUGUACUUCAAAUGAACACAGUGACUGGAAAUGUGGGAUUCUGCUAUUUGUGACUCUGAAAUUUGUAGCACAUUUUCAGGAAAAUUGUUGAGAUUCCCAGAUACUUUGUUCUUUAUUCCUUGAAGGUUUUCUUGAGUGUAUGAUUAUUUCUGAAUUUUGUUAAUCUAUUUAUAACUUUAGAGAAAACUGCCUUCAGUUCAUGUUUUGACUCAGAAUACUUGGAUUUAUCUUAAAUUAGCAGUGUGUUUUGAAAAAAAUUCCAUUUUUAGUAGCUCUCAUCUCCGUUUUGGAAUCUCAGAUCAACUGUUCGUUACAGCGUUCAUUGGGACUUUUCUGCAAAAUACAACUCCACUGAGAAGGUCAUCCUUGAAAAAUCAAGAAAUCUGAAGAAAGUAAUUUUGGGAUGAGUAGAAAGAUGGAAGAUCAUCAUAUUACAGCGCAGCACACUGGAAACACCUUAGACUUCACUGCUUUUGUACGUGAAACACAAUUUGAAUGUCUUCUGUGAACUGGACUUGUAGACAGAUAAAAUGUAUCUUGACUAAGAAAAGCACAGCUCUAGCCUCUAAAGCAGUGCCGUCAGGACAGCUGACUCUUGAUCGUUCACACUGGUGGAGGGAGCCUGGCUCUUUCAACCUGACUCAAGUUAAGAGUCAUGCAUUCCGAUUCAAAGGUGUUUCCGUGUUCCUUUUGGAAUAUAGUGUUUGGAUUUUACAAUAUGUGCCUCCCAAUUGCACCUGCCCUGAGGGAAGAGCCUGAGUUCAUCUGUGCCCCGAUGCUUGGUCUCUGCCUUUUGUUUCUGAACUCUUGACCUAAACGUGGAGAAAGCAUUGAGUAUAAAGGAUUCUAGAAUUGAUCAGACCUGUUAAGUCUGUUCCACUUCUCCUUCCUGGGUAAUUUUAUUCCAUUUCCUUUUCAGCUCUUCUAAACAUAGCCCAAUUUCUGGCCCUUUGUCUUAGGUCAGGAUAGAAUUCUAUAACCACUGUCCAGGCUUCUUCCCUCUCGUCAUAUUUUGUUCCGCCUGCAACGGGCGGUUCCUGCUGCUCUACUCUGAAGCAGUCUCCUCGUGUCCUUGCAUUUCCAUCUCCCUCCCUGCAUGUUCUCGUGGGGAAAUAGGAUAGCGGCCGACUUAGCACUCCUGCCUAUCUAAGAUUUCCUGUAAAAAUCCACAGUAUUUUAAAGAGAUCUUCUCAGCUCAGGUGUUGGCAGGCACCUCCGAUUGUGCUCAGUCAGGUGUGGCUGGCCACUCUCCCUCGGUCCUCCUGAGAGCCAGGAAUGGACCUCAUCUCGCCCCAGGCACAGGAUGAGCCAGUCUGACUUCUCCGUACGCUUGCUAGUUCCUGCAGUCAUGAGUUAGUGAGAAAGUUAGAAGAGAUCCAUACGUUUCCCCCAGAUGCUAGUAAAACAAAGCAUGUGCAGAGAAAACGACAUCAAUAAGCUUUUGAACGCAAGAUUUGUCAAAGAAUAUGCCAGAUUUUAAGUUAACCUACACAAACCCGCAUUGACCAUCCAGUUUUGUCUUACUUAAAAAAAUACGCAAAUUAACAUAAUGCUUAGAAAAUACUACCAAAGUACCCGGACAUUUUCAAAAUGUGAUAGAUAGUAUCUCUAAACAUUUUUUUUUCACAAGUAGCUUUCAGAAACAUGUGCAAAUGUGUUUUGUGUAGAAGAGUAUAUACUGAAUAUAAUACUCUGUUAUUCUAAUAAAAUUAAAUCAUCUCAUUAUUUAAAGCCUAAUAGUUUGAAAUUGUUUUUUGAGUAAAACUUUUAUAGCAUGAAACAAUUUUCACUUCUCAUAGAAUGUACAGAUAUUCGUAGAAGCUGCUCGUGUGUGUGCGUUUUCCACAUAAAAUAAAAAUAUUGUAAACAGGGUCGUGUCUCCAGUAAGUUUCCAAACUUUUGGCUGUAAUUACCAAAUGCUUGGGAUUGGGUUGACUGGAAAUACAUCUCCAGUUUUUCUGUAUAUGUAGCAAAUUUUGUCCAAAUAAAGUAGCUUUG